This is a non-coding RNA of Gossypium raimondii (Peruvian cotton), 107 nucleotides long. The record is from Rfam. NCBI's taxonomy places the organism in Eukaryota, Viridiplantae, Streptophyta, Magnoliopsida, Malvales, Malvaceae.
AACCCAUGGUGAGGGCACCUUCUCAAUAAAUCAUUGUAUCUAUCCCAUGCAUCAUAUAAGGUUUCUAAAUCGAUCUGAUCAACGGAAAAGAUAUCAUUCCUCAACUC